Non-coding RNA from Homo sapiens (human), 340 nucleotides. Lineage: Eukaryota; Metazoa; Chordata; Mammalia; Primates; Hominidae. The record is from the annotation of a RefSeq genome assembly.
AUGAAGACAUUUGCUGGAUUUUCGUUCCUGUUUUUGUGGCUGCAGCUGGACUGUAUGAGUAGAGGAGAGGAUGUGGAGCAGAGUCUUUUCCUGAGUGUCCGAGAGGGAGACAGCUCCGUUAUAAACUGCACUUACACAGACAGCUCCUCCACCUACUUAUACUGGUAUAAGCAAGAACCUGGAGCAGGUCUCCAGUUGCUGACGUAUAUUUUUUCAAAUAUGGACAUGAAACAAGACCAAAGACUCACUGUUCUAUUGAAUAAAAAGGAUAAACAUCUGUCUCUGCGCAUUGCAGACACCCAGACUGGGGACUCAGCUAUCUACUUCUGUGCAGAGAGUA